CCUACGGGUGGCAGCAGGGGGGAAUAUUGCACAAUGGGCGAAAGCCUGAUGCAGCAACGCCGCGUGAAGGAAGAAGGGUUUCGGCUCGUAAACUUCUAUCAACAGGGACGAAAGAAAUGACGGUACCUGAAUAAGAAGCCCCGGCUAACUACGUGCCAGCAGCCGCGGUAAUACGGAGGGGGCAAGCGUUAUCCUGAAUUACUGGGUGUAAAGGGGGAGUAGGCGGCAUGAUAAGCCAGAUGGGAAAGCCUGGGGCUUAACCCGAGGAGUGCAUUUGGAACGAUCAAGCUAGAGUACAGGGGCGGCAAGCGGACUUCCUCUUGUCGCGGUGACAUGCGUCGUUCUUCGG
Molecule: ribosomal RNA, 349 nt
Filed under: uncultured bacterium
Lineage: Bacteria
Description: partial 16S ribosomal RNA
Rfam family: Bacterial small subunit ribosomal RNA
Source: RNAcentral